Bombyx mori (domestic silkworm) is the source of this 129-nucleotide non-coding RNA. Lineage: Eukaryota; Metazoa; Arthropoda; Insecta; Lepidoptera; Bombycidae. The record is from RefSeq and is marked provisional.
ACGCUUCCUACUAGUUGCUUUGUUAUCAGUUACUGCUAUAUGGCAACAGAUGGCGUUAUUCAUACAGGCAUAACAAUAUCUAGUUGCUACCUACAGUCUAGCUUUGUCUGCAUACAAAAAACAGAAAGU